GAUGAAGAACGUAGCGAAAUGCGAUAAGUAAUGUGAAUUGCAGAAUUCAGUGAAUCAUCGAAUCUUUGAACGCACAUUGCGCCCGCCAGCAUUCUGGCGGGCAUGCCUGUUCGAGCGUCAUUUCAACCCUCGAGCCCGACUUCCUUGCGGAGGACGGCUCGGCGUUGGGGGACGGCACACUCCCCCCGGCUCGCCGGGGACGCCGCCCCCGAAAUUCAGUGGCGGCCCUCGGAGGCGACCUCUGCGUAGUAACUCAACCUCGCAAAGGGAAGCUCCGAGCGGCCACGCCGUGAAACCCCAACUAUAUCAAGGUUGACCUCGAAUCAGGUAGGACUACCCGCUGAACUUAAGCAUAUCAAUAAGCGGAGGA
This 370-nucleotide unclassified non-coding RNA is filed under the name soil metagenome. RNAcentral describes it as "partial contains 5.8S ribosomal RNA, internal transcribed spacer 2, and large subunit ribosomal RNA". The stretch from base 1 to 120 matches the Rfam family "5.8S ribosomal RNA", at positions 35 to 154 of the family's 154-position model. The record is from RNAcentral.